RNAcentral lists this ribosomal RNA (253 nucleotides) under uncultured bacterium. RNAcentral describes it as "partial 16S ribosomal RNA". It matches the Rfam family "Bacterial small subunit ribosomal RNA", at positions 524 to 776 of the family's 1533-position model. The record is from RNAcentral.
UACGUAGGGAGCAAGCGUUGUCCGGAAUCAUUGGGCGUAAAGAGCGUGUAGGCGGCCCGGUAAGUCGGUUGUGAAAGUCAAGGGCUCAACCCUUGAAAGCCGACCGAUACUGCCGGGCUAGAAUCCGGAAGAGGCGAGUGGAAUUCCUGGUGUAGCGGUGAAAUGCGCAGAUAUCAGGAGGAACACCGGUGGCGAAGGCGGUUCUCUGGGCAUUACCUGACGCUGAGGAGCGAAAGUGUGGGGAGCGAACAGG